UACGGAGGGUGCAAACGUUGCUCGGAAUUAUUGGGCGUAAAGCGCACGUAGGCGGUUCGUUAAGUUGGAUGUGAAAGCCCUGGGCUCAACCCAGGAAGAGCAUACAAAACUGGCGAGCUUGAGUACAGAAGAGGGUCUCGGAAUUCCCGGUGUAGAGGUGAAAUUCGUAGAUAUCGGGAGGAACACCAGUGGCGAAGGCGGAGACCUGGGCUGAUACUGACGCUGAGGUGCGAAAGCGUGGGGAGCAAACAGG
Molecule: ribosomal RNA, 253 nt
Filed under: uncultured bacterium
Lineage: Bacteria
Description: partial 16S ribosomal RNA
Rfam family: Bacterial small subunit ribosomal RNA
Source: RNAcentral